UAGGUGACCUGCGGAGGAUCAUUACACAUAUAUGGGACACUAAUGUGGUCCCUUGACUAAAACCCUCUCUGCGUACCAAUCUAUGUUGCUUUCCUAGGUGGUUGGUUUCAGCUGCCGUCCAACAUUGCCUGCUAGCUCAGUCAAUCCGAGUUGUUAACUUGGAGUUUGAUCUAUUUUACUGAUGGGUUAAGCUUUAAUGGGUCAGCGAGCUUAAUUUAUAUCUAUCAGGAUCAGCUAUGUAGGCCCCUGGGAAAGGGUCCAUUGCAAGUGAAUAUUUCAAUCAGCUGUCUGAGUCGGCCUAGUGCCUUAUUCUUUAAACAAGUUAAAACUUUCAACAACGGAUCUCUUGGCUCUCGCAUCGAUGAAGAACGCAGCGAAAUGCGAUAAGUAAUGUGAAUUGCAGAAUUCAGUGAAUCAUCGAAUCUUUGAACGCACAUUGCGCCCCUUGGUAUUCCUUGGGGCAUGCCUGUUCGAGCGUCACUACAAACCCGCUCAUAAAUGUUAUGGUAUUGAUGGAAGUGAACUGUUGCAACUAAAGUGUGUGGAUCACCCCAUCGAAAUACAUAGGCAGGACAACAAACCUCUGUAGCUGACUUAGUAACUGUUUUCAAGACACAAACCAGUCACUUGCUAGGUUCUAGCCUGGCCUCAUUAGACCUCCAUUCAAGAUAAAUACUGGGUUGACCUCGGAUCAGGUAGGGAUACCCGCUGAACUUAAGCAUAUCAAUAAGCGGAGGAAAAGAAACCAACAGGGAUUGCCCUAGUAACGGCGAGUGAAGCGGCAAAAGCUCAAAUUUGAAAUCUGGCGCCUGUGGUGUCCGAGUUGUAAUUUGGAGAGGCAUCUUCCGGAGGGGUCCAGCCUAUGUUCCUUGGAACAGGACAUCACAGAGGGUGAGAUCCCGUUCAUGGCUGGAGAUACCCUUCAUUAGGUAGUG
This 935-nucleotide ribosomal RNA is filed under the name uncultured Tuberaceae. RNAcentral's name for it is "eukaryotic LSU rRNA". The stretch from base 682 to 935 matches the Rfam family "Eukaryotic large subunit ribosomal RNA", at positions 1 to 253 of the family's 3401-position model. The record is from RNAcentral. Lineage: Eukaryota; Fungi; Ascomycota; Pezizomycetes; Pezizales; Tuberaceae.